AGCUGCCUGAUGAAGAGCUGU
This 21-nucleotide microRNA is filed under the name Lottia gigantea (owl limpet). RNAcentral's name for it is "lgi-miR-745a". Its record names the gene lgi-miR-745a. The record is from miRBase by way of RNAcentral. Lineage: Eukaryota; Metazoa; Mollusca; Gastropoda; Lottiidae.